This 74-nucleotide transfer RNA is filed under the name Spirochaetota bacterium. RNAcentral's name for it is "Spirochaetes bacterium (groundwater metagenome) tRNA-His". It matches the Rfam family "tRNA". From Rfam's summary of the family: Transfer RNA (tRNA) molecules are approximately 80 nucleotides in length. Their secondary structure includes four short double-helical elements and three loops (D, anti-codon, and T loops). Further hydrogen bonds mediate the characteristic L-shaped molecular structure. tRNAs have two regions of fundamental functional importance: the anti-codon, which is responsible for specific mRNA codon recognition, and the 3' end, to which the tRNAs corresponding amino acid is attached (by aminoacyl-tRNA synthetases). tRNAs cope with the degeneracy of the genetic code in two manners: having more than one tRNA (with a specific anti-codon) for a particular amino acid; and 'wobble' base-pairing, i.e. permitting non-standard base-pairing at the 3rd anti-codon position. Lineage: Bacteria; Pseudomonadati; Spirochaetota. The record is from RNAcentral.
GCGAAUGUAGUUCAAUUGGUUAGAGCGCAAGAUUGUGGAUCUUGAUGUUGCGGGUUCAAGUCCCGUCAUUCGCC